GGCGAACGCUGGCGGCGUGCUUAACACAUGCAAGUCGAACGGGCCUUGUCCCCUUUUUUUUUGGGGGUGGGGUUAGUGGCGAACGGGUGAGUAACACGUGAGUAACCUGCCCCUCACUUCUGGAUAACCGCUUGAAAGGGUGGCUAAUACGGGGUGUUCUGGCCUGCUCGCAUGGGUGGGUUUGGAAAGAUUCGACCGGUUUUGGUUGUUUUGGUGGGGGAUGGGCUCGCGGCCUAUCAGCUUGUUGGUGGGGUGAUGGCCUGCCAAGGCUUUGACGGGUAGCCGGCCUGAGAGGGUGGGCGGUCACACUGGGACUGAGACACGGCCCAGACUCCUACGGGAGGCAGCAGUGGGGAAUAUUGCACAAGGGGCGCAAGCCUGAUGCAGCGACGCCGCGUGAGGGAUGGAGGCCGUCGGGUUGUGAACCUCUUUCGCCAGUGAAGAAGGUCCUGCUCUUUGUGGUGGGGUUGACGGUAGCUGGGUUAAUGAAGCGCCGGCUAACUACGUG
RNAcentral lists this ribosomal RNA (508 nucleotides) under uncultured bacterium. Its description in RNAcentral is "partial 16S ribosomal RNA". It matches the Rfam family "Bacterial small subunit ribosomal RNA", at positions 28 to 507 of the family's 1533-position model. The record is from RNAcentral.